GCGGCAAAAGCUUAAAAUGAGCGCCGGCCUUGUAAGCCGGAGGAUGAAGUAUACCUUCUUGCCGUA
Molecule: transfer RNA, 66 nt
Filed under: Perotrochus quoyanus
Lineage: Eukaryota; Metazoa; Mollusca; Gastropoda; Pleurotomariida; Pleurotomariidae
Also listed under: 1 other name
Description: tRNA-Thr
Rfam family: tRNA
About the family: Transfer RNA (tRNA) molecules are approximately 80 nucleotides in length. Their secondary structure includes four short double-helical elements and three loops (D, anti-codon, and T loops). Further hydrogen bonds mediate the characteristic L-shaped molecular structure. tRNAs have two regions of fundamental functional importance: the anti-codon, which is responsible for specific mRNA codon recognition, and the 3' end, to which the tRNAs corresponding amino acid is attached (by aminoacyl-tRNA synthetases). tRNAs cope with the degeneracy of the genetic code in two manners: having more than one tRNA (with a specific anti-codon) for a particular amino acid; and 'wobble' base-pairing, i.e. permitting non-standard base-pairing at the 3rd anti-codon position.
Source: RNAcentral